CGGGAUACCAUACAGGACACUCAAGUGUUAUUUUAUAUUUUCUUAGUUAUCAUGCAAAUGAAAAUAAUCACUAUCAUUUAAAAGUUAUUCAGGGAUAGUUGCAAAUGACCAGAUACUCUUGAGGGACCAAUUUAAGGGCAAACAGACAAACGUUUUGAUGCAAAGAAAGCAUUGGAUUUGAAAGUUCCCAUGGAGAAGAAAAAUGGAGAGAUUCUAAAAGUAUGAAGAUACUCCUGUGUAUAAUGAGGAAAUCUUGUCAGUGAAUGUUGUUGCAAUUGUGGACCAGGCCAGAGUUGUACUAAACCAACUAAGACACAAUGAGAUACAGGAAUGACACAAUGAGAAACAGGAAACAGGAAAGUGAUGACUGAUCGCCACCUGUUACAAAUUCAUCUAGAAAACUCCCCACAUCCAACAAGAGACAGUCUGACUUCAAAAUCUUCAUUGAAGGCAACUUAAUGGACAAGACAUCCGUCACAUAAAGAUUCACUAAAAUUGGAAUGAUAUACCAAUUUUAACUUUUAACAGACAAAUACAUUAUAGAUUUGAAAAUAGAUUACCCUUAGAUAAGUUGGAUGAUUAACAUUUACCUCAACACAGUACAAAGUGCUCAUGUUGAACUAUUGUGAUUGAUCAUAGUCUGUCCUUCAUUUUUAUUAACAGUUUCAUACAUUGUUAACACUUUAGUAUGGGGACUCAUUUUUAGCUCAACUUUUCGAAGAAUAUGGAGAGCUAUACUACUCACCCAAGUGUCGGCGUCGGUGUCACCCCUUGGUUAAGGGUUCGCUUGCAAGCACACAUAGGUUAAUAUCUCAGCAACUACUUGAGGUAUUGCAUUGAGACUUUAUACAAUGGUACUCAACCAUCCAACCUACUUAUUUAAACAAGUAAGAUAACUCUAGUUUGCAUUUAAUGUAAAUAAUAGGCCUUUAUUAUUUGACUUAGAAAUUCUGGUUAAGGUUUUGCAUGCAAGCACACAUAGGUUAAUAUCUCAGCAACUGCUUGAGGUAUUGCAUUGAGACUUGAUACAAUGGUACUCAACCAUCCAACCUACUUUUUUUAAACAAGUAAGAUAACUCUAGUUUGCAUUUAAUGUAAAUAAUAGGCCUUUAUUAUUUGACUUAGAAAUUCUGGUUAAGGUUUUGCAUGCAAGCACACAUUAUAUCUAAGGUUAAUAUCUCAGCAACUGCUUGAGGUAUUGCAUUGAGACUUGAUACAAUGGUACUCAACCA
Long non-coding RNA from Mya arenaria, 1232 nucleotides. RefSeq lists it as uncharacterized. NCBI's taxonomy places the organism in Eukaryota, Metazoa, Mollusca, Bivalvia, Myida, Myidae. The record is from RefSeq and is a predicted model, not a curated record. The transcript has 5 exons.